GAUGAACGCUGGCGGCGUGCCUAAUACAUGCAAGUCGAGCGAACAGACGAGGAGCUUGCUCCUCUGACGUUAGCGGCGGACGGGUGAGUAACACGUGGAUAACCUACCUAUAAGACUGGGAUAACUUCGGGAAACCGGAGCUAAUACCGGAUAAUAUAUUGAACCGCAUGGUUCAAUAGUGAAAGACGGUUUUGCUGUCACUUAUAGAUGGAUCCGCGCCGCAUUAGCUAGUUGGUAAGGUAACGGCUUACCAAGGCAACGAUGCGUAGCCGACCUGAGAGGGUGACCGGCCACACUGGAACUGAGAAACGGUCCAGACUCCUACGGGAGGCAGCAGUAGGGAAUCUUCCGCAAUGGGCGAAAGCCUGACGGAGCAACGCCGCGUGAGUGAUGAAGGUCUUCGGAUCGUAAAACUCUGUUAUUAGGGAAGAACAAAUGUGUAAGUAACUAUGCACGUCUUGACGGUACCUAAUCAGAAAGCCACGGCUAACUACGUG
This 497-nucleotide ribosomal RNA is filed under the name uncultured bacterium. Its description in RNAcentral is "partial 16S ribosomal RNA". It matches the Rfam family "Bacterial small subunit ribosomal RNA", at positions 28 to 507 of the family's 1533-position model. The record is from RNAcentral.